Molecule: ribosomal RNA, 98 nt
Filed under: Peromyscus maniculatus bairdii (prairie deer mouse)
Lineage: Eukaryota; Metazoa; Chordata; Mammalia; Rodentia; Cricetidae
Source: RNAcentral
GUCUGCAGCCAUACCACCCCCAAAGUGGAAGAUAAGCAGGGUCAGGCCUGGUUAGAAGUGGGAUGGGAGACUGCGGGAAUACUAGAUCAUUCUAGGCA